UGCAUUUGGAUUGAUGACCAUCCUGCAGAAAAGUAAAGAAAGAGUACUUUUUCCAGGAAGCAUAUGGGAGCUCCGUGACAAAACAAGGAAGACUUUGGGGCUAGUUGAUUCAGACAAGUGAAGCUGUCCACGACAUCAGGGAAGCAUCUUGGGAUGAAACAAAGGAACAAACAGAAGUAGGUAAUAAGGGUAUGGGACCAGUACACACACUUUUGUGCCUGAUUUAAACAAGCUUACAAAUGCUAAAUUUUGCAAUUUGGAGUCACUUCCAUUGUUCCCACUCCAUUAUCUUCUAUUUCUUAGAAUGUGAUCGAGUUAUGUCAAAUUCACGUGGAGACUUGAUAAGUCGAUGACAUAUCUUCCUUUCUUGUUCCUCAAUCAUAUCUUCUUCUUUAGGCUUAAUCUAAUGGUCCCCUUAGUCACUUUAGGGAAAGAGAUUAUGAAUCCGAUUUUCUUUUCUGGUCGCCAAUUAUUAAUCUGAUUUACCUGAUCUUAACCGACCAUGCCAAAAUAACUAAUAUGAAUCUGUUUUUUUAUCCUCAAUUUUUUUCUUUUGGUUCUUAAAAUAAAACCAAAAUUGUAUCAAACCUAAUUUAAAAG
Long non-coding RNA from Camelina sativa (false flax), 600 nucleotides. RefSeq lists it as uncharacterized. The record is from RefSeq and is a predicted model, not a curated record. Lineage: Eukaryota; Viridiplantae; Streptophyta; Magnoliopsida; Brassicales; Brassicaceae.